AUACAUACUUGGCAGGGGAGAUAACCAUAAUCCCAAAGGUGGUUUCUCCAGAGCAAGACUCAUCCAUGGCACUUUGUAUGUGUUGACCCCUGUGAUAUCCUCAAAUGUGAGAAAUUCGACUGCAUAAUGUGUGGUAAUAGGGGAGUGCAUUCACACUCUCCAU
Molecule: small nuclear RNA, 163 nt
Organism: Suncus etruscus (white-toothed pygmy shrew)
Lineage: Eukaryota; Metazoa; Chordata; Mammalia; Eulipotyphla; Soricidae
Product: U1 spliceosomal RNA
Exons: 1
Source: RefSeq, a predicted model, not a curated record